AACUUGCUAAUUUGCUCUGCAAGUCUCUCUUUUUUACACAAUGUACAAUCUUGGACGGAGAACUCCACUUCUGCUCGCUCUCUUCGCUCUCUCAGCCAUAGCCAUUGUAUCUCUCACAUUCUUCACUCUCUCAAACAACCAAGAAUCUUCCUCAAAAACAGUACAAAGAACCCAACAUAUUCACGUUCAACAUGUAGUUGAACUUUUAAUUUUUAUUGGUGAAGGCGUCUAGCCUGAGUUCUAGUUCAACAUGUAGUUAAACUUGUAAUUUUUGUUGGCGAAGGCGCAUAGCCUGAGUCUCAGUUCAACUUGUAGUUGAACUUGUAAUUUUUGUUGGGGAAGGCACAUAGCCUGAGUCUCAAUUCAACUUGUAGUUGAACUUGUAAUUUUGUAUGGCGAAGGCGUAUAACCUGAGUCUCAGUCAGCUUGUAGUUGAACUUGCAAUUUUUUAUGGCGAAGUCACGUAGCCUGAGUUCUGGUUCAACCAUAAUUGAACUUGUAAUUUUUCUUGGCGAAGGCGUCUAGCCUGAGUCCUAGUUUAACCUGUAGUUGAACUUGUAAUUUUUGUUGGCGAAGGCGCAUAGCCUGAAUCCCAUUUCAACUUGUAGUUGAACUUGCAAUUUGUGAUGGUGAAGAAACGUAGCCUGAGUUCUGGUUCAACCGUAGUUGCAUGGUUCGCAGUUGGAGAUGUCUUUUGGCCAUUUUCCGGCAAGAUCCUGUAUCAGGAUACGAGGGUACCUGACAUGUGUUAUCCCCGAGGGGGCUUACAUCUUCUUCCUCUUCUAGCACUCAUUCGAGAAUAGAGGGGUAAGGGGUUCAGGUUCUUGUCGAAGCCUUUGGGUUCCCCUUAUCCGAUGUGCUGCUUUGGCUCGUUUGAGUUGGGUUGCUUUCCCUUUCCAGCGUUUGUUCCUCUUGGCCCAGGGAAGAACUAUGCUAUUCUGCUAUGAAAUUCCCACAGACGUUUUGCCUUUCUGGCAUUUCGUUCCUUUUGGUCCAGGGAAGAACUAUGCGAUUCUGCUAUGAAAUCCCCACAGACGAUGUCAAAUUUUUCAGCUCAAAGUUAUCAGACACUUUGCAAGCAUAAAACAAUCAAAAAUAAAUCAAAAGGCCAAUCAUAGCAGAUUGUAAUAAAUCAUGGGACCAAGUAAAAGAAACGAAAAGCAAGUGUUGUCAAUUAAGGAGAAAGGUGUAAA
This 1193-nucleotide long non-coding RNA is filed under the name Nicotiana benthamiana. Its description in RNAcentral is "long non-coding RNA (NBEN_LNC017432)". Lineage: Eukaryota; Viridiplantae; Streptophyta; Magnoliopsida; Solanales; Solanaceae. The record is from RNAcentral.